Long non-coding RNA from Aquila chrysaetos chrysaetos, 456 nucleotides. RefSeq lists it as uncharacterized. The record is from RefSeq and is a predicted model, not a curated record. NCBI's taxonomy places the organism in Eukaryota, Metazoa, Chordata, Aves, Accipitriformes, Accipitridae. The transcript has 2 exons.
CAUGAAUUGUUGAUAGAAUUAACAUACACUAGCCCUGCGGUUAAGGAAUGUAAUGAAUGAUUAAUGAACCGGUAACUCAUAUGUAAAUUAGUAAUUUUCAACAGGGCGAUACAGGCCAACUUCUGCUGGAAUUGAUUAACAUCCACCGGAUCGAGCUCACAUUUGUAACGAAUGACUCGAUCAAGAAUGAGUGCUGGGUGAGGAACAGGAGCCGGCCUACGGAAGGCGCACGCGUCAUCGAUGGCAAUUACUUAACAAGAAUGAAUCCCACCCCAACAGUGCUAUGCAGUACGCCGAUGGCCACUAAAUCGUACAGAGACGAGAGAGCAGCGCUGGCACCUCUUCCUGAAGAAGUCAUUACCGAUAAAGUACACUGACUGCAGGUAACGAUUUGCUCUUAUAUUUUUGAUGUGUGUGUGUGCCUGGUAAAAGACAAGAUGUCAGAAAUCAUAAAUU